UUAUUGUUGGCCCUGUGCUUGAUGCCAAAUACAGUUCAGCACAUUCAGCCAUUGACUACUGGCGCCAGGGGGAAAUAAAAAAAGAAGAAAAUUGGACUCAAAUUGAUGUUUACCACGUGGGUAGAUGAGGAUGGGGUGCUCUGCAUGCAGCACAGAAGGCAGAAGAGAUGCUUAAUACUUCCCUGAUAGUUGGUCCUUCUUCCUGCCCCUGGUAGUGGUGAGAAUUCACAGAUAACAGUUGCUAAGUACAGCAGAGCCUUAACACUGGCCUGCUGUAAUGCCUUGUGUACGGCAGUGAUAGAGGGAAGAUAUCACAGAAACCCAUUUGAAGAACGUGUUUGUCCUUGUGGUUCUGGGGAGACUGAAACUACAGCGCACAUUCUCUUGUAUUGUCAAUUUUAUCAUGAUAUCCAACACAAGCUUAUUUCUUCUGAAACUAAUCUUUAUCCAGGCUCUACUCAUACAUUUUAUUUAACUAUUAUUUUAGCAGAUCAGAAUGAAGCAGGUCAUAUAAUGUUGCUAAACAUUGUUUUAUUGCUAGUGAAAUUUAGUUAGAGGUUAUAAAAUAGUUAAUUAUUAUCAACUUUUCUGGAUCUGAAUACAUAUAACGCAGCUGGUCAGAUAUUUUAGU
Hemicordylus capensis (graceful crag lizard) is the source of this 631-nucleotide long non-coding RNA. RefSeq lists it as uncharacterized. Lineage: Eukaryota; Metazoa; Chordata; Lepidosauria; Squamata; Cordylidae. The record is from RefSeq and is a predicted model, not a curated record. The transcript has 3 exons.